GCUUGAGCUAGUUCGGUUGGUAGAGCACAGGUCUGAAAGAUCUGGUGCCGGCAGUUUGGUUCUGCCUCUUAAGCA
This 75-nucleotide transfer RNA is filed under the name Endomicrobiia bacterium. RNAcentral's name for it is "tRNA-Phe". It matches the Rfam family "tRNA". From Rfam's summary of the family: Transfer RNA (tRNA) molecules are approximately 80 nucleotides in length. Their secondary structure includes four short double-helical elements and three loops (D, anti-codon, and T loops). Lineage: Bacteria; Pseudomonadati; Elusimicrobiota; Endomicrobiia. The record is from RNAcentral.